CGUACGGACUUGAAAAUCCGUUGGCUUUAUUGACCGUGAGGGUUCAAGUCCCUCUACCCCCA
RNAcentral lists this transfer RNA (62 nucleotides) under Hygroamblystegium tenax. RNAcentral describes it as "Amblystegium tenax partial tRNA-Leu". Lineage: Eukaryota; Viridiplantae; Streptophyta; Bryopsida; Hypnales; Amblystegiaceae. The record is from RNAcentral.